CGGGAUGUAGCUCAGCCUGGUAGAGUGCUGCGUUCGGGACGCAGAGGUCGCAAGUUCAAAUCUUGUCAUCCCGAC
This 75-nucleotide transfer RNA is filed under the name Gimesia aquarii. RNAcentral's name for it is "Planctomycetes bacterium V144 tRNA-Pro". It matches the Rfam family "tRNA". From Rfam's summary of the family: Transfer RNA (tRNA) molecules are approximately 80 nucleotides in length. Lineage: Bacteria; Pseudomonadati; Planctomycetota; Planctomycetia; Planctomycetales; Planctomycetaceae. The record is from RNAcentral.